GAUUCUUCCCAAUUCUACCGCCACCAUUCUGGUUCAAGCUACCUGGUCCAGCUUUGACUUUACCUGGUUUUUUAUAGAAUGCUACAACUCCCUCUAGAAGCUUCUCUUGAUAAGAACUCCUUUCCUUAGGCUGGAUUUGCCAUCUCCCACAAUGCCCAUAACUUGAAUUAUCACUUAGGUCUUUGGACCUAAUUUCUAAGAAAGGUAAAACAUGCACAGAGCAAAUUUCGGUUGUAUCCUAGAAAUGAUAGCCAUAUUCAGGAUACUGGUUACACCUGACGAAACAUCUCCAUGAAAGUUAAGCAUACACAGGAUCUCACUUUGUUACCCAGGCUAGAUAGAGUGCAAUGGUGUGACCACAGCUCACUGAAGCCUCAACCUCCUGAGCUCACUUUUAAGCAAUCCUCUCACUUCGGCCUCCUGAGUAGCUGGGCCUACAGGCAUGUACCAACACUCCCAGCAAGUUUUUCUUAUUUUUUGUGAAGACAGAGUCUUGCAGUAUUGCCCAAGCUGGACUUGAACUCCUGGCCUCAAGCAAUCCUCCCAUCUAGGCCUCCCAAAGUGCUAGGAUUACAGGCAUGAGCCACUGUGCCAAGCAACACUUGCAGUUUUUAAGUGAAAAUGAUCCUGUAAAUAUACAUAUGAAUAAAAUCUAGAAAGCUAUAUAAAUCAAAA
Molecule: non-coding RNA, 675 nt
Filed under: Pan troglodytes (chimpanzee)
Lineage: Eukaryota; Metazoa; Chordata; Mammalia; Primates; Hominidae
Source: RNAcentral